AUGGCCAAACACUGGAACAAACAACAAGAUUACCGAAACACAGGAGUACAACCAGCUGCUGCCAUUGCUGCUGAAAACACCCGCUGCUGCCGCUUCCCUUGUCAGUUCCACUGCGAGGUGAAGAGGGAACCGAACCAAAAAUUUCUCUUUGAUGUCAGAAGCAGAAAGUCCCUAAUGAAAGCACUUACGUCGGGGAACUGCGGCCUGACCUCCACCCCUCCCGGAGGGUCAGCCAAAUGCUUUCAGCAAACACCUUCCAUCUGCUCCCGCGGCACAGCUGCUGAGACGCUCAGGCCACAGGCGCUGGCUGACGGCCGCGGUGCGGGGAGACGAGGCGGCAGGCAGGACACGGACAAGCUGAGCCCCAACGGGACCGGCUGCGCCGCUAAGCCGAGCGCUGAGGCCGUGAUGAGAGCUGGGGCAGGAGCGGGGACACCAAGGGAGGACCGCAGGGAGCAGGCAGGUGGGAGGCAGCUCGUUGCAACUUGCUCGCAAAGAGCACAAUCUGUUGAGCUCCAGCAAGUUGGUGCCUCGCUAAAGCUGCUUUCUCAGCAAGAUACCAGCAUCUCCCAGCGCUUCCAGUUCUGCCCCAUACCCCGCUUAGGGCUCCAGCAGCUGGAGGAGCCGGGGCAGGCUCAGACAGACCUCGCGCUGCAUCCAAAGCAGCUGCCUCCUGCAGCCUCCCCCCGGGCCGAGGCUGAGCUUCCCCUGCACGCAGCACCGCUUUCAGCUCGGGGCUGGGAGGCGGGAGGCAGUCGGAGCAGGCGGGGAGGCUGCGCUCACCUGGCUGCCGCGGGGUCGGCGAUGAGGCACUCGCAGCUCCCGCUCGCCUCUUCCAAGAGCCUCCCGCAUCAAAGUUUCCCUUCCUCCCCCUCCAUCAGCAGCCCUGCAGGGCCCAGGCAGAGCCUCUCUUCCCCUCCCUGCCUCUCUAAAUUUGCCUGGCUGCUGAACAUUUCUAUUCUAGGCAGGGACAGGCGAGAUGAGGGAAGCGAAGCACACGCAUCAGUCGGGUUGCGAACGACAUCAGUGCCAAGUUCUCUGCUAUAUAGCCGUUUCAGGCAGAGAACGCGUCUGAUGUGGUACUCCGAGCCAAGUAACAUGAUUUGCGAAAGAAACAGAAAGAAAUCCUCUUUAUGCAAAACCUCCAGGCGAUUCUCAGCUACCUGGGAACACAGGGGAAAGCAGGAAGAGCCCAUAUAA
Long non-coding RNA from Anser brachyrhynchus (Pink-footed goose), 1200 nucleotides. NCBI's taxonomy places the organism in Eukaryota, Metazoa, Chordata, Aves, Anseriformes, Anatidae. The record is from Ensembl.